AGUAUAGCCAAUAUACCGGUUCUCGUUAGAUCACGGAAGUCAAGCAUCACUGGGCGCAGCACUUGGGUGGGUGACCACCUGGGAACACCGCGUGC
RNAcentral lists this ribosomal RNA (95 nucleotides) under Caerostris extrusa. The record is from RNAcentral. Lineage: Eukaryota; Metazoa; Arthropoda; Arachnida; Araneae; Araneidae.